AGCAGCCGCGGUAAUUCCAGCUCCAAUAGCGUAUAUUAAAGUUGUUGCAGUUAAAAAGCUCGUAGUUGAAUUUCGGGAUUGGCGCAUCGGUCGUGCCUCACGGGGUAUGAACUGGUGCAGUCAAUUUCUCACCUUCUGGAGAACCGCGAUGUCCUUAAUUGGAUGCCGCGGGGAACCAGGACCUUUACUUUGAAAAAAUUAGAGUGUUUAAAGCAGGCAUUUUUGCUUGAAUACAUUAGCAUGGAAUAAUAAAAUAGGACGGCAUGGUUCUAUUUUGUUGGUUUCUAGGACCACCGUAAUGAUUAAUAGGGAUAGUUGGGGGCAUUAGUAUUCAAUUGUCAGAGGUGAAAUUCUUGGAUUUAUUGAAGACUAACUACUGCGAAAGCAUUUGCCAAGGAUGUUUUCAUUAAUCAAGAACGAAAGUUAGGGGAUCGAAGACGAUCAGAUACCGUCGUAGUCUUAACCAUAAACUAAUGCCGACUAGGAAUCAGACGAUGUUAAUUUUUAAUGACUCGUUUGG
Molecule: ribosomal RNA, 520 nt
Filed under: uncultured Entrophospora
Lineage: Eukaryota; Fungi; Glomeromycota; Glomeromycetes; Entrophosporales; Entrophosporaceae
Description: SSU rRNA
Rfam family: Eukaryotic small subunit ribosomal RNA
Source: RNAcentral